CCUCUCCAAAGUGCACCUAUACUGGAUAAUGCAUCAGCCAAAGAUCACAAAGGAGAGAAAACAGAUAUACUCUGCAUCUCACUUUUCCCCAAAACUGCACUGAUCUCCAGUGAAGUAAAAGGGAAAUAAAAACAAACAACAUAAGUGAGGAAAUGGUAAAAAUUAAAGACAACUAACCUCUAAAGAAAUGAGAGAAAGGUGUGUGUUUGGAUUUUGUUUUUCUUUGUUUCUUAAUUCCCUUAUAAAUAAGAGAAUUUUUUUUCUUACAUGGGAUUCUUUUGAUUUAUUUCUUAUUUCUGAAAAAUUUUACAAGAAGAGACUCAGUAGCUAAAGCUAAAUUUAUCUUAUCAAUUACUGAAUAGGGAACAUUAAAAACAUAUAAUCUGAAACUGACCUAAUACAAAACUAGUUUAUUAGUUACAAAUACCCAGUACUGUCUCUGAUAUAUCUUUUGCUGUUAGUAAUUAUAUCAGCUGAUAUGUUACUCAGUAUUUUUAUAUAAAAGAGAAUGUAGACAUUUAAAUGAUUUCUGUAUCAGACUAAACUGGCCAAAAUCAGAAUAUCAGCCAAAAAAUUGGCAUCAAUUUUAAGACAUCCUGGCUAAGGUUAAGAAUUUAUUUGAAGAGAGACUACCUCCAGAAAAGGUGGUUUGAAGUUGACAAAAAGAUUAGGCCAACAAUAUUCACUAUUAUUUGAAGUUUUAGAUUUUUUUAUUCCCUUCUCUCUUCUCUCCAUAUCAGGAAAGCAAUACCUUACAUUUUGUGAAUGAAAGCAAAAAUAUGAGGAAAAAGUGGCAUUUUAAAAAGGGAAUUACAUUGCUUGGAUGGCACCAUGGAUUAUGCCUACUAUAAUCAGAUGGGAAAGUCAUGGUACUAGUAACUUUGAUACCACACAGUCACAAAUAUUUAAAAGUGCUGACAUUUAAAAUUGUUUUAAGGAACUUUUGUUUUCCCUGAUGGACUUUCUUCGAAUCUUACAAUGACAAUAACCAUGCAAGUUUCUCUACACAUGAUUCACAAUUUGGAGUUUAAAAACUUUUUUUGCUUUUUCACUACUACCACAGGAAUUAAGUUUUUGUCUUUCUGUUCUAUUGCACAGGAAAAUGUGGAAAGUUAUAAGAUUAGAAGAAAAGGGUACAUUUGCACUUUAAUCACUUGUCUGGAUUUGAUGCACAUAAAUCAGACAGUCAAACCAUCAGCAUACCAGAAAUUAUUCUCACAGACUUUCACUGACAGUACUUAGCAGUCUUUUAUAUUUCAUGUUUUAUCUCACAGAAAUUUAUGGAAUCUGGUUUUAGGGGUCUAUUUUUUUCCUUUUCUUUUUAAAGUUUGAAGUUAGAAUAAAGGGAAGAAGAAAUUAAAAAGGAGCUUUAACUUUGUCAUUUGUUGGGAAAAAAUUAUAAACAAAGACAAUUAUAAAAAAUCCUUAAAUGAAAAAAUACUGUAAAAUAUUAUUAGAGAAAAGCAACCAAAACCAAGGAAAAAAUAUGCACUGAAAAUGCCAGAUACACUUAUUUCACUUUAGAUAUGCAUUAAAUUUAUUCAGUCAAAGACAGGACUGCUUCAAGUGUACAUGCCAGCACAGACACACACCAAUCCUCAAUAAAGCCUUCCUAACAAACCACUUUCACAGAACUGGCUAACUUUCAGAAAAUAUGUGAUUACUUGAAGUUUAGUUGUGUAAUUCUAUGAAUCCUGUACAAUUUGUAAUCACUCCCAGAGUACUUUAAGUAGAUGUUGGUGAGAGAUUUAGUUGGUCAUUCUCUUAUACAAAUGCUGUAAUUUCUGGUUACUUCUCAAGGCGAGGAGGUGGGGAUGAUCCUUAGAUCAGGAAGUUGCCCUUCCUUGUUGUAGUAUAAGCCAGUUAAAGACUGGAAGACACUGUGUUGAACUGCUCCCUAUUUUAAAAUCGUAUCAUCUUACUGCAUCUUUACAAUCAGUACACAUAUAUUUCUCAUUUCUCAAUGCUUAAAUGGAGCUUUCUGUGAAAUAUUGAGCUUAUAUAUACACACCAAACUUUUUGUGUAUCAUGAAUAUCAUGGGAUUGCAAAAAGCCUUCUCAGUGCAAUGAUCUUUUUAUAUUGUGACAUUGAUUAGAAUUAUUAAGUUGGUAGAAGAAAAAAAAAAAUUGUGUUCCAAAGUAGGACAAACAAACAAACAAAAAAUUCCUAUUACAAACUAUCUUUAUUAUCUUUGAAAAGCUCAUAAGUAUUUACCACCAUAACCUAAUAUUUAUGACUAGUUUCUUAUAAAAGAAAUACUGAGAAACAGACUUGACAGCACAAGCUUAGCAGAGAAGCGUCAUCCAACAUAAAAUAAUUUUAAGGCUUAACAGUACUAUUUUAGUCACUUAAUUCAUCUCCUGUACAAAAGUAGUAGGCAUUCACCAAUCUCUUUUUUUCAUAUUUCUGUGCAUAAAAUUCUUAAUUAUCUUUUUAUAAAAUUAAUUCCAAUAAUAUUUCCCAAGGAGUGGUUGUAAUUGCUUGUUGGUAAAUUGUAUCUGUGGUUAAAUAACUUCAUCUUCAAAAGUGUCAUUCAAUUUUCCUUAUAAUUCUCUUUCUCUUAGAAAGAUUUAAAAAUAAAACAAAUAAAGACAAAAAAAAAAA
Taeniopygia guttata (zebra finch) is the source of this 2605-nucleotide long non-coding RNA. The record is from Ensembl. Lineage: Eukaryota; Metazoa; Chordata; Aves; Passeriformes; Estrildidae.